RNAcentral lists this long non-coding RNA (1934 nucleotides) under Triticum aestivum (bread wheat). RNAcentral's name for it is "long non-coding RNA (TAES_LNC007239)". Lineage: Eukaryota; Viridiplantae; Streptophyta; Magnoliopsida; Poales; Poaceae. The record is from RNAcentral.
UUCAAUAUGUAGGUGCGUGCUACUAUCCAUGUGGCAUAUCUAAUAGGUCAGACUGGUUUGCUAGCUUAAUUUUUUAGCUUGAUGUUUUCAUUUAGGGGUGUCCUCUUCAGCUGCAUCUUUUGUGCAGCUCCAAAAUUCUAUCUUUCAAAGCACUUAUUUCCAUGUUCUGUUUAUUAUUUUUAAGUCAUGAAAACUCUUUUCGGUGUGCUUGAUCACUCCACUUCCAUGUUUAUCCUUGCAGAAAAGAAUACCUUUAUCCUGAUAGGCAUGGAAACACCGGUUCGCAUUGAGUGCAUCAUCGCUAAUCAGCUACUAUGUAUGGUCAGCGGACAUGCUUUCUUAUUCCUGUAACAUAUCAUUACUCUAUCUCCUUAGCCUUUCUAACUUUUAAGAUUUGAUCAAUUCUUUAGAAGUUCGUACAGAUCUAGAAGUAUUUGGUUUUGUUGGUCAAAUCCAUUACCUGUAUAUCCUUAUUUAUUUUAUUGUUCGAACAAGAUAUCAGAUCACCUACAUUCAUUAUUCUUGAUUACAGUCUCAUACUAAAGUUUAUGAAUUCUAGGCAACUAUUCAGAACUAUAAAGAUCAAAACUUUGAAGUAAAUUCUAUGGUCUUCAAAGUUUUGAUCUUUAUUUGGUUAGUAAGGCUCUAGAAUAAAACAGACCAAUGAUAUAUAUACAAACAGACACAAUAGGAGUUAACUGGUACCUAGCUUUUGAAACCUCUGAUAUAUACAAAAUAUUAUUUGAGUAGAACAGGAGAGAUGCAAUUUUGUGGAUAUUUCCGCAUUUGUAAGAAACUUUCUAGCUUGGCAAGAGGGCUUGACUAGCCAUGUGUAGGACUCAGCCAUGCUGCCUUCCAAAUGAUUAGUCAUUGGUGUUUUCUUAUGUUCGUGUUAGCCCAAGUGCGUCAGAUAAGUAGACUGUUAUGUUGAAAAAAGGAAAGAGACUACUCUUUUGUUACGUACAGUACAGAUAUAUACUAUAGCAUAUUACCUUUAUGCUCUCGAUUUCAGUAUACGCCUGCGAACAAGUAAGUCGGUAAUAUCAAUGCCUAAGAACUACUUUGUUUGCCAUUCUAAUCGUUACAUCAGAGAGCAAUGGAUAUAGAAGAAAUAUGUAAACAGUUGUCCUUAGAAGAAAUAUGCAACAACUUAUUAAGGUUACUUAAUUAAUAACGCAUCUAUAUCAUUACAUACACAUAUUGAAUGUGCCUUUUGAGAGUGAGCUUCUGUCAUUACCUCACACUUAUCUUAUAUGCCAUUCCAACUAUCUGUUGCAGUAGAGAGCAAGGGACAUAUAAGAAAUCUCCAGGCAGCUUCACUUAGAUGCAUCAUCUUCUGCUAGGAGUCAGCUUGAAGAACGACCUUCUCAAGUUAAUUCUUGGGUCAGUGUUUCGGCUUUUCUCCAUUGGUUCAUAAAAACCAUAUGGUAACUUGACUUUACAUAGAACCUGCUGCACUAUAACUUUGGUUUAAUCUGUCGAUAAUGCCCAUGAGUAUAUUCUUAGUGUAUGUUUGACCAGAUUGUUUUAAGUUGUGUUGUUCCUAUGCUUCAGGAGACUGCAACUGACAUGUUGUAUGGCGAAUAACCAAAUUUGUGGACAAAGACAAAGAGUUCAUCGCAAGGGGUGGUGUUUAGGAUAUAUACACAAAAGAGGAAACUUUUUUUGUACAAAACCAAAUUAUAUGAUGUAAUUGACCACUAUUUCUAAGAAAUGUUCAUCAUGUAUUCAGUACAUUUUAUUGUCACUUUUUUUGAAGGGUAGCUUUAUUCAUCAAACAUCACAAAGUGUGUGAUAGAGUUCAUCAAACUAGGCUUUAUUGUGUCACCUAUGUUUAACUUCUUUUUUAUUGUGUCACCUAUGUUUACCUUCUCAAGUAUAUAUUUGAAGGACAAGUCUAUUCUUUUUUAUAAAAAUAGUUACAAUUCAUGUCC